UACAUGGGGUGCAACCGUUGCUCGGAAUUAUUGGGCGUAAAGCGCGCGUAGGCGGUUACUCAAGUCGGAUGUGAAAGCCCUCGGCUUAACUGAGGAAGUGCACCCGAAACUGAGUAGCUAGAGUACUAAAGAGGGUCGCGGAAUUCCCGGUGUAGAGGUGAAAUUCGUAGAUAUCAGGAAGAACACCCGUGGCGAAGGCGGCUCUCUGGGACGGUACUGACGCUGAGACGCGAAAGCGUGGGGAGCGAACAGG
This 253-nucleotide ribosomal RNA is filed under the name uncultured bacterium. RNAcentral describes it as "partial 16S ribosomal RNA". It matches the Rfam family "Bacterial small subunit ribosomal RNA", at positions 524 to 776 of the family's 1533-position model. The record is from RNAcentral.